RNAcentral lists this ribosomal RNA (253 nucleotides) under uncultured bacterium. Its description in RNAcentral is "partial 16S ribosomal RNA". It matches the Rfam family "Bacterial small subunit ribosomal RNA", at positions 524 to 776 of the family's 1533-position model. The record is from RNAcentral.
UACGUAGGGUGCGAGCGUUAAUCGGAAUUACUGGGCGUAAAGCGUGCGCAGGCGGCUUUGCAAGACAGGCGUGAAAUCCCCGGGCUCAACCUGGGAAUUGCGCUUGUGACUGCAAAGCUGGAGUGCGGCAGAGGGGGAUGGAAUUCCGCGUGUAGCAGUGAAAUGCGUAGAUAUGCGGAGAAACACCGAUGGCGAAGGCAAUCCCCUGGGCCUGCACUGACGCUCAUGCACGAAAGCGUGGGGAGCAAACAGG